CAAAAGGAAAGAAGACCCCACAAACAAACAAAAAUAACAGCUCUAAAAGAUCAUGCAGGUACGGUGCCACUGAUUCCCAGUAGCAGAUGUUUCGGGUGUUGCAACUCCCAUCAGAACAGCUGCAGGAAUGUAGAAUCACAUCUGGGUUUGCAACGGGGCUGCAUCAUUACCCAUUGACAGUGAAACAGCCAGCUGCUUCCAAUUCGUUUUAGCGACUGCGCUUCGAGUCUGAGCCUGUGAACAUCCCACGCUUUACAACCGCCGCUUGUCGUUCCCUGCACACGGUACUUGCUGCGGGCUGCUGUAUCGGCCGGCCCUGGGAGGGGGAGCAAAGCCAGGGGAGGAGAGUCGGCGCGGUGGCUGUGCUUUGCCUCUGGCUGCGGCAGGGCUGAGCCGCGGGAGCUGGUUGAGCCCUUUUCCUGUGAAUAAAGGCACUGGAGGUGCUGCAGCCUUCGUGUACUGCAGUGACCCUCCGUGGGGCCAGCUUCCUCCCCGCUAAACCCGUCACGCCACCUUCUCUCUCCUGCUGCUUUCUCCCUCCAGCGACUAUGUUCAGGACGUGCUGCGGGUUUCGGGCUGGUACUUUAGACAUCACCGAAUGGGAAAGAGCCUCAAGUCCCUGCAGCAGGGGCGAGCAAAAGCGGCCAACUCGGGCACCCCUUUCUCCUGCCACCACUCCCUCCCAGUGCCGGCUUGCUGCUGGAGGUGUCUGUGGGCUGGAGGUCCCCACCAGCGGGACCCAGAUCCACAUGCUCAAGUUCUGCGCUUAAAUGACUUAAAAGGAAGGAAUUUUGCUUUUGCUUUGGCUCUUUGCAGGAGACCAGCCUGGGACCCCAACUCCUUCCGUACAGCUAGGUCAGCUGGAGAUAUUUCCACCAGGAAAACUCCUCCCUGAGACACUGAUCACAUAGGAAGCAAUCUCUGGAUCACUGUUCAGAAACUCAAGGAUUGCCAAAACACAGCUUUUGGAGUUCCCCCCUGGGGCAGGGGGUUUAGGUAAGGACUCCACACUUGGAUCGAGCCUCAGGAUGUUCUUGUUUUCUCUCCUACAGUGGUGAGUCAGAUCCGAUCCGAUUUGCAGGCUCAGCCUCCCACUGGGCAGUAAAAACACCGCUCUCCUCUCGGGUAUAGUUUCCAGCUCCAAAAUAAACACUGAGGGCAGCCAAACUGUGGUCA
This 1176-nucleotide long non-coding RNA is filed under the name Struthio camelus australis. RNAcentral's name for it is "lncRNA (ENSSCUG00000005253.1)". Lineage: Eukaryota; Metazoa; Chordata; Aves; Struthioniformes; Struthionidae. The record is from RNAcentral.